This 810-nucleotide ribosomal RNA is filed under the name uncultured bacterium. RNAcentral's name for it is "bacterial SSU rRNA". It matches the Rfam family "Bacterial small subunit ribosomal RNA", at positions 8 to 796 of the family's 1533-position model. The record is from RNAcentral.
AGAGUUUGAUCAUGGCUCAGAACGAACGCUGGCGGCGUGGAUAAGACAUGCAAGUCGAACGGGACUUUCCGUUGUAGCAAUACGAUGGAAAGUCUAGUGGCGAACGGGUGAUUAACACGUGGGCAACCUGCCAUGAAGUGGGGGAUAGCUCGCCGAAAGGCGAAUUAAUACCGCAUGUGAUUAGAAAGGACAUCCUUUCGAAAUUAAAGUCGGGGCAACCUGACGCUUCUUGUGGGGCCCGCGGCCUAUCAGCUAGUUGGUGAGGUAACGGCUCACCAAGGCUUUGACGGGUAGCUGGUCUGAGAGGACGACCAGCCACACUGGGACUGAGACACGGCCCAGACACCUACGGGUGGCAGCAGUCGAGAAUUUUUGACAAUGGGGGAAACCCUGAUCGAGCGACGCCGCGUGGAGGAUGAAGGUCUUCGGAUUGUAAACUUCUGUCAUUGGGGAACAAGGUGCAUACGUUAACUGCGUGUGCAUUGAUAGUACCCGAAGAGGAAGAGACGGCUAACUCUGUGCCAGCAGCCGCGGUAAUACAGAGGUCUCAAGCGUUGUUCGGAUUCAUUGGGCGUAAAGGGUGCGUAGGCGGCGCGGUAAGUCGGGUGUGAAAUCUCGGAGCUUAACUCCGAAACUGCAUUCGAUACUGCCGUGCUUGAGGACUGGAGAGGAGACUGGAAUUUACGGUGUAGCGGUGAAAUGCGUAGAUAUCGUAAGGAAGACCAGUGGCGAAGGCGGGUCUCUGGACAGUUCCUGACGCUGAGGCACGAAGGUCAGGGGAGCAAACGGGAUUAGAUACCCUAGUAGUCC